This 684-nucleotide ribosomal RNA is filed under the name Candidatus Phytoplasma ulmi. Its description in RNAcentral is "bacterial SSU rRNA". It matches the Rfam family "Bacterial small subunit ribosomal RNA", at positions 430 to 1123 of the family's 1533-position model. Lineage: Bacteria; Bacillati; Mycoplasmatota; Mollicutes; Acholeplasmatales; Acholeplasmataceae. The record is from RNAcentral.
GUUCUUUUAUUGAAGAAGAAAAAAUAGUGGAAAAACUAUCUUGACGUUAUUCAAUGAAUAAGCCCCGGCUAACUAUGUGCCAGCAGCCGCGGUAAGACAUAGGGGGCGAGCGUUAUCCGGAAUUAUUGGGCGUAAAGGGUGCGUAGGCGGUUAGAUAAGUCUAUAAUUUAAUUUCAGUGCUUAACGCUGUCUUGUUAUAGAAACUGUCUUGACUAGAGUGAGAUAGAGGCAAGCGGAAUUCCAUGUGUAGCGGUAAAAUGUGUAAAUAUAUGGAGGAACACCAGAAGCGUAGGCGGCUUGCUGGGUCUUUACUGACGCUGAGGCACGAAAGCGUGGGGAGCAAACAGGAUUAGAUACCCUGGUAGUCCACGCUGUAAACGAUGAGUACUAAGUGUCGGGGAAACUCGGUACUGAAGUUAACACAUUAAGUACUCCGCCUGAGUAGUACGUACGCAAGUAUGAAACUUAAAGGAAUUGACGGGACUCCGCACAAGCGGUGGAUCAUGUUGUUUAAUUCGAAGAUACACGAAAAACCUUACCAGGUCUUGACAUACUCUGCAAAGCUAUAGAAAUAUAGUGGAGGUUAUCAGGGAUACAGGUGGUGCAUGGUUGUCGUCAGUUCGUGUCGUGAGAUGUUAGGUUAAGUCCUAAAACGAACGCAACCCCUGUCGUUAGUUGCCAGCA